AGAGCACCUGGUGACCCCUGAGUCCCUGGACCUGCUGGACAAGCUGCUACGCUACGACCACCAGCAGAGACUGACCGCUGCUGAGGCCAUGCAGCAUCCAUACUUCUAUCCAGUGCUGAAUGAACAGACCAUCUCCAACACAGACACCAAGGCAAUAAGUGGAUCCAAUGCAACAUGAUGGACAGAGAGGAGGAAAACCUUUGUUACCUCAUCUUGUGACCCUUUCGUGGCAGAAACGAUCUGCCUCCAAGUCUACAGCCAUACUGGAGCAAGAAGUCAACUUGCAACACACACAACACUCUUGGAUAAAACCUAAAUCUUUCACAACGUGGGUACUAGCGUUGCUUGGCCCCAGUCACACACAAUGUAUCGGAUCCAAGCUAUGAGGUGUGAUAUUCCCUCCUAGAACUGCCCCCCGAAAUCCCUGCCCGCUCCCCACCCCACCCACCUCAACUCCCCUGUUUUCUGAAAUCCCCUGAUGUCAGAUGUGAUACAGAGACUGACUCCAGGUCAGUUUGGCACUGGUGUUGUGCUGUGAGAUGUGUGUUGGUCAGUAUGGAGCUGCACUGGCCUGGGGUCAGAGCUAUAAUAGCACUGAGUGGCAUGGAGGCUCUUUUCUGCUGUAGAUAGA
Long non-coding RNA from Salmo salar (Atlantic salmon), 631 nucleotides. RefSeq lists it as uncharacterized. Lineage: Eukaryota; Metazoa; Chordata; Actinopteri; Salmoniformes; Salmonidae. The record is from RefSeq and is a predicted model, not a curated record.